Misgurnus anguillicaudatus (oriental weatherfish) is the source of this 2063-nucleotide non-coding RNA. NCBI's taxonomy places the organism in Eukaryota, Metazoa, Chordata, Actinopteri, Cypriniformes, Cobitidae. The record is from RefSeq and is a predicted model, not a curated record.
CAGAGCGUCCGUAAACUGAAUGAAUUUAGAAUAUCACCUGAAAAUCCAAUAACAUCAGCAAAUUUCCAUUUAAGUAGCUGAUUUCUGUAAAUGAAUGUACAUUUCAGCACAUGGUGAAGUCCGUAUAUACAUUAACGACGAUUUGAGACAAAUAAGUGUAAAUUUAAAACUAUGUAUAUGGCGCUAUACGCUGCAGACAGACGCGAAAUGGCACCGCCGGUACACACACAUACCCUGUGUCUCAAUUCGUUCCCUAGCUCCAAAGGUCGUGAAUCUGUAUAUAGUGUACACAAGUUCGGGCACUGGUAAGGACUUUAGCUCACUUGACAUUAAGACACUGUUCACUUUAUCCUGUGAUGUGGCUGCUUAAAGGCGUUGUGAUCACUCACAGCUGUUACGCAUCAAAAACCGGCAAAACCAACAGCUCUCUGACUUAAUUUUUAAACAAUACAUUGUAAAAAACGCUGUCAUUAACCUCUUAUAUAUCCGUGCAUAAAAUUGGAGGAAUAUAAUUACAUUUUAAAUACAUAUAUUUUUAACAAUUUUAAAUAAAUAUUAUUAUUUAUAUCAUCCAAUUUUGGUUGGAGAUAUUCGAAAAGGUCACGUGAUUUGUGGUAAUGGAACAUGGGGACCAUCAAUGCUCACUGGGUUUUGCGUUGCAUCGAGUUAAGUUAUGUUUACUAGCUGCGCCAUGCUUAUAUUAUACAUUGCUCUACUGGCUGAAGUAGUGAGAUUUAAACAAGCUGGUCAAGUCUUCAAAUUGUUGCUAACCUCUAUAUUGCUAUGUUUUCUCCAGGUCUUUUUAAAUGGACAGCUUUGUUGCUGAUAAGCUAACUGAGUGGUGGCUGUUUAAGCUGACAGAGACAUUUUUGAGGCCGUCUACAGGGUUGGGAAGAAGACAAUCCGGCACUCCACUGAAGAGUCCUGGACAGCAUUCAUACACCAAAUGUCUGUUGGAACAAAUGUGGUGGAAUACAGUGGCGGCUCGUGACUGCUCAUCCGAGGAUGCGCUAAUUCAAAAUGAGUGUUCAGAUUGUCACGUGUGUGGUUUCCUUUUCCAAAAUAUGUGUCCUGCGUGUCGAGAGAUCCUGUGUGCAUCACAUGUUUUAUCAAAAUACGUGCCUGCUGCACACGCGUCAAAACCGUUUAUGAUAAAAGAGACACUCACGUUCACAAAAUACACACUAGACACUUUCUUAACAGUAAACUCUGAUUACGCAUGAGAUUAUGCCAGUAUCUGGCAAACGCAAUCAUCUCUUUCAUCAUAAACCCUUUAGAAGCGUCUGCAGCAGGCACUUAUUUUGGCAUGACACGUGAUGCACACAGGAUCUCUCAAAGCGCAGAACACAUAUUUGGAAAUAACGAACCACACACAUGACGGGCUACAUACAUGUUGUGACGAACUUCGCAUCGAGCGUCCUCAAAAAAAUAAGUCACCGGCCCCCACUGGUGGAAUACCUUCAGCAAUCGAAGCCAUUCCCCUCUGGGAGAUCUUAAGCUGCAGUAAAAGACACAACCAGUGUUUGAAGACUUAAAGCCUCAAGUUCAAUUCAGUUAUUGAAUGUUGUCAAAUGUUUGAGAGUUGUUUAUUUUUCUAUUUUUCCUUUCUAAUGUUAUUACAGUGUGACCUAAAAUAAAUAGGUCCAAGUGUGUGUUUUUUAUAUAGAAUUUAAUUGAAUGCAAUAAAAAUGUAAAACUGAUUGAAGUGUGUAAGUGCCUGGAUUUUUCUUUUCUGAAAUAAAUAAGGCAUAGUGGCAUAGUUACACAAUUUAGGUUAUCUAUGACCUUUGGUUAAAAGGAUCUACUAAUUUCUGGGUUAUUUCAACCCAGAUAUUGGGGUCUUUCUUUUGACCCAGAAGUUGGGUUAUAUUAACUACAAUGUUGGGUUAUUUUAACCCAGAAGUUGGGUCAGGUAUUUAACCCAGAAGUUGGGUCAAAAAGAAUAACCCAUUUUUCUGGGUUGAAAUAACCCAGAAAUUAGUUGGUCCCUUUUUAACCCAGGAGUUGGGUCAAAAAUAACCCAUAAUGGGUUGUUUUUGACCCAGGAGUUUUUAGUGUGCACC